AGAGCUCAGUCAGUCGAUGCCUAUUGAGUGUCACUUAUUGGCACUCAUACUACACUUCUGCACCCUGCAUAUCAUUGUACGGGUUUUCAUUGUUGAUUUGGAUAUCGCGCGGAGCAGCUCUUGAUUUUGGAGAAUUGGGGGCAAAUGGAAUUUCUCUUAGAAAGCUCAGCUUCAGGAUGGAGUCACAGUAAUUCGUGGGAUCAUCUCUUGGUUUCUUAUUAAGGAUGUGAGGGUCACAUGUGUCAUUAUGGUUGGGUGGCAAUGUUCCUUGUGGUGUACCUUGCCAUGGUUCAUCUUCAUUUGAGUCACUUUUGAUUGAUAUCUAUAUUAAUAUAAAACCUAGAUCGGGAGGGUGUGAUACCACCACCUAUCAGACUCGACAAGCGGUCCACGGAGCUUUCAAGCCCCCCAUGGCGAUCCUAGAGAAGCGCAUGGAUCCUACUUCCUAGUUGGGACUGGAAGUUGGUGUAUAUAUCUUGGUAUGAGGCACUUGGCAUUGAUGGUACUACUGGUAUCAUUGCAUAACUUUCAUUCAUAUAUGCAUUGCCUAUUACCAGCAUAGUUGUUUGUAUUUGUCGAUAGUAUGGGAUGUCGUGUGGGUUUACCUAAUUAUGAUUGAACUUCCUGGGCACACAGGGGCUCGGGAAGUAUUGUCUUACUAUUUGCGAACUUAUGGCAGUAUAAAGGGUGGUCUCUUGUUUGAAGGUUGUUACUUCCCUUGUUUUUAUUUAUCUAAUCUUUUGUGCAGGGAUUUAGUUGAUACGGUCCGUUGGGAUUUUAUGUGAUAUAUGUGUUUAUCUCUAUUAGUAGGGUGUCACUUAGUUGUUCCCCCUUUUGUAGUGUAUCGUCGUGUUUAGGUCUUGGGAUGGCGCUACCUGGUACGUCCCUGAUUUCCUAGCUUGUUCCCUAUCUCUCUUUCUUAUAUCUGAUGCUUGUUAUUGGUGGCUUCCACAUUAUUCUUCUUAGUUACUUGUGAUAUAUACUCCUUGCUUACAUGUUCUUUAUACUUGAUUUAUCUUUGGAGCUCAGUCAGUUGAUGCCUACUGAAUGUCACUUGUUGGUACUCAUACUACUCUUCUGCACCCUGCAGAUUAUAGUACGGAUUUUCUUUGCUGCUUUGGAUAUCGGGCGGAACAACUCUUGGAUUUUAGAGAAUUGGGUGAGCUCUUGACGUUCAAAGUUGCCUAUCUCCAUCUAUUUUGUAUUAAGCUGGUCUUUAUUUUAUAUUUGGAGACAGUCUAUAUUACCAUUAUUAUUUUGGUAUUUGUAUAAGCCUUGUAUUCCGUUAUAUUAGUUCAGUACCUUGACUACCGACCGAUACCAGA
Molecule: long non-coding RNA, 1325 nt
Organism: Solanum dulcamara
Lineage: Eukaryota; Viridiplantae; Streptophyta; Magnoliopsida; Solanales; Solanaceae
Exons: 3
Source: RefSeq, a predicted model, not a curated record